This 465-nucleotide ribosomal RNA is filed under the name Vreelandella stevensii. RNAcentral's name for it is "partial 16S ribosomal RNA". It matches the Rfam family "Bacterial small subunit ribosomal RNA", at positions 338 to 795 of the family's 1533-position model. Lineage: Bacteria; Pseudomonadati; Pseudomonadota; Gammaproteobacteria; Oceanospirillales; Halomonadaceae. The record is from RNAcentral.
CCUACGGGAGGCAGCAGUGGGGAAUAUUGGACAAUGGGCGAAAGCCUGAUCCAGCCAUGCCGCGUGUGUGAAGAAGGCCUUCGGGUUGUAAAGCACUUUCAGUGGGGAAGAAAGCCUUGGGGCUAAUACCCUCGAGGAAGGACAUCACCCACAGAAAAAGCACCGGCUAACUCCGUGCCAGCAGCCGCGGUAAUACGGAGGGUGCGAGCGUUAAUCGGAAUUACUGGGCGUAAAGCGCGCGUAGGCGGUCUGAUAAGCCGGUUGUGAAAGCCCCGGGCUCAACCUGGGAACGGCAUCCGGAACUGUCAGGCUAGAGUGCAGGAGAGGAAGGUAGAAUUCCCGGUGUAGCGGUGAAAUGCGUAGAGAUCGGGAGGAAUACCAGUGGCGAAGGCGGCCUUCUGGACUGACACUGACGCUGAGGUGCGAAAGCGUGGGUAGCAAACAGGAUUAGAUACCCCAGUCGUC